AUUGAACGCUGGCGGCAGGCUUAACACAUGCAAGUCGAGCGGAGCGAGGGUGCUUGCACCUUAGCUUAGCGGCGGACGGGUGAGUAAUGCUUAGGAAUCUGCCUAUUAGUGGGGGACAACAUUCCGAAAGGGAUGCUAAUACCGCAUACGCCCUACGGGGGAAAGCAGGGGAUCUUCGGACCUUGCGCUAAUAGAUGAGCCUAAGUCGGAUUAGCUAGUUGGGGGGGUAAAGGCCUACCAAGGCGACGAUCUGUAGCGGGUCUGAGAGGAUGAUCCGCCACACUGGGACUGAGACACGGCCCAGACUCCUAUGGGAGGCAGCAGUGGGGAAUAUUGGACAAUGGGCGGAAGCCUGAUCCAGCCAUGCCGCGUGUGUGAAGAAGGCCUUUUGGUUGUAAAGCACUUUAAGCGAGGAGGAGGCUACUAGUAUUAAUACUACUGGAUAGUGGACGUUACUCGCAGAAUAAGCACCGGCUAACUCUGUGCCAGCAGCCGCGGUAA
Molecule: ribosomal RNA, 501 nt
Filed under: uncultured bacterium
Lineage: Bacteria
Description: partial 16S ribosomal RNA
Rfam family: Bacterial small subunit ribosomal RNA
Source: RNAcentral